AGAGUUUGAUCCUGGCUCAGAAUCAACGCUGGCGGCGUGCCUCAGACAUGCAAGUCGAACGCGAAAGACGCCUUCGGGCGUCGAGUAGAGUGGCGCACGGGUGAGUAACACGUAGGUAAUUUGCCUUUGGGUGGGGAAUAACAACCGGAAACGGUUGCUAAUACCGCAUAAUGCAGCGGCUCGGAAUCGAGACAGUUGUUAAAGCGGAGGAUUCGUUUGAACUUCGCGCCUGAAGAGAAGCCUGCGGCAGAUUAGCUAGUUGGUGAGGUAAUGGCUCACCAAGGCGACGAUCUGUAACCGGUCUAAGAGGACGGUCGGUCACACUGACACUGAAUAACGGGUCAGACUCCUACGGGAGGCAGCAGUCGGGAAUUUUGGGCAAUGGGCGCAAGCCUGACCCAGCAACGCCGCGUGAAGGAUGAAGUCCUUCGGGAUGUAAACUUCGUAAGAAUGGGACGAAUAAGCGCAAGCUAACACCUUGCGCGAUGACGGUACCAUUCGUAAGCUCCGGCUAACUUCGUGCCAGCAGCCGCGGUAAUACGAGGGGAGCAAGCGUUGUUCGGAUUUACUGGGCGUAAAGGGCGCGUAGGCGGUCGGACAAGUCAGUUGUGAAAUCUCCGAGCUUAACUCGGAGCGGUCAACUGAUACUGUCUGACUAGAGUGCAGAAGGGGCAACUGGAAUUCUCGGUGUAGCGGUGAAAUGCGUAGAUAUCGAGAGGAACACCGGCGGCGAAGGCGGGUUGCUGGGCUGACACUGACGCUGAAGCGCGAAAGCUAGGGGAGCGAACGGGAUUAGAUACCCCGGUAGUCCUAGCCUUAAACGAUGGAUGCUUGGUGUCCGAAGUCUUUUAGUCUUCGGGUGCCGUAGCUAACGCGGUAAGCAUCCCGCCUGGGGAGUACGGUCGCAAGACUGAAACUCAAAGGAAUUGACAGGGACCCGCACAAGCGGUGGAGCAUGUGGUUUAAUUCGACGCAACGCG
Molecule: ribosomal RNA, 980 nt
Filed under: uncultured bacterium
Lineage: Bacteria
Description: bacterial SSU rRNA
Rfam family: Bacterial small subunit ribosomal RNA
Source: RNAcentral